CCGUCGAUAGCUCAGUUGGUAGAGCGGUGGACUGUAGAUCCAUAGGUCCCUGGUUCGAAUCCGGCUCGACCGA
This 73-nucleotide transfer RNA is filed under the name Rhipicephalus microplus (southern cattle tick). RNAcentral describes it as "tRNA-Tyr". It matches the Rfam family "tRNA". From Rfam's summary of the family: Transfer RNA (tRNA) molecules are approximately 80 nucleotides in length. Their secondary structure includes four short double-helical elements and three loops (D, anti-codon, and T loops). Further hydrogen bonds mediate the characteristic L-shaped molecular structure. tRNAs have two regions of fundamental functional importance: the anti-codon, which is responsible for specific mRNA codon recognition, and the 3' end, to which the tRNAs corresponding amino acid is attached (by aminoacyl-tRNA synthetases). tRNAs cope with the degeneracy of the genetic code in two manners: having more than one tRNA (with a specific anti-codon) for a particular amino acid; and 'wobble' base-pairing, i.e. permitting non-standard base-pairing at the 3rd anti-codon position. Lineage: Eukaryota; Metazoa; Arthropoda; Arachnida; Ixodida; Ixodidae. The record is from RNAcentral.